UGCCUUAGUGGCUUAAAGCCUAAAGCAUCGGUUUUGUAAUCCGAAGAUUGGAGGUUAAACUCCUCCCUAACGC
RNAcentral lists this transfer RNA (73 nucleotides) under Hemigrammus armstrongi. Its description in RNAcentral is "tRNA-Thr". It matches the Rfam family "tRNA". From Rfam's summary of the family: Transfer RNA (tRNA) molecules are approximately 80 nucleotides in length. The record is from RNAcentral. Lineage: Eukaryota; Metazoa; Chordata; Actinopteri; Characiformes; Acestrorhamphidae.